This 74-nucleotide transfer RNA is filed under the name Streptomyces cinnamoneus. RNAcentral describes it as "tRNA-Gly". It matches the Rfam family "tRNA". From Rfam's summary of the family: Transfer RNA (tRNA) molecules are approximately 80 nucleotides in length. Their secondary structure includes four short double-helical elements and three loops (D, anti-codon, and T loops). RNAcentral also lists the same sequence under 3 other names. The record is from RNAcentral. Lineage: Bacteria; Bacillati; Actinomycetota; Actinomycetes; Kitasatosporales; Streptomycetaceae.
GCGCCGGUAGUGCAACAGCAGCACGCCCACCUUCCGGGUGGGAGGUCCUGGUUCAAAUCCAGGCCGGCGCUCCA